This 228-nucleotide ribosomal RNA is filed under the name uncultured soil bacterium. RNAcentral describes it as "partial 16S ribosomal RNA". It matches the Rfam family "Bacterial small subunit ribosomal RNA", at positions 26 to 252 of the family's 1533-position model. The record is from RNAcentral.
AGAUUGAACGCUGGCGGCAGGCCUAACACAUGCAAGUCGAGCGGCAGCACGGGUACUUGUACCUGGUGGCGAGCGGCGGACGGGUGAGUAAUGCCUAGGAAUCUGCCUGAUAGUGGGGGAUAACGUUCGGAAACGGACGCUAAUACCGCAUACGUCCUACGGGAGAAAGUGGGGGAUCUUCGGACCUCACGCUAUCAGAUGAGCCGUAGGUCGGAUUAGCUUAGUUGG